UCUCCGUUGGUGAACCAGCGGAGGGAUCAUUACAGGACUCGCAAGACUCCUUAAACCCUGUGAACUUACUACAAAGCACGUUGCUUCGGCGGGUGCCUCCGGGCGGGUUUUCCCCCCGGGCGCGCUAAGCCCGCCGGCAGCCUACCAAAUUCUACCUCUUUGCGUUGGCAUCUCGAGUACAAACAAAUAAGUUAAAACUUUCAACAACGGAUCUCUUGGUUCUG
This 224-nucleotide unclassified non-coding RNA is filed under the name plant metagenome. RNAcentral describes it as "partial contains small subunit ribosomal RNA, internal transcribed spacer 1, and 5.8S ribosomal RNA". The record is from RNAcentral.